RNAcentral lists this transfer RNA (75 nucleotides) under Candidatus Saccharibacteria bacterium RIFCSPHIGHO2_12_FULL_47_16b. RNAcentral's name for it is "tRNA-Arg". It matches the Rfam family "tRNA". From Rfam's summary of the family: Transfer RNA (tRNA) molecules are approximately 80 nucleotides in length. Their secondary structure includes four short double-helical elements and three loops (D, anti-codon, and T loops). The record is from RNAcentral. Lineage: Bacteria; Candidatus Saccharimonadota.
GCCCCUAUAGCUCAAUGGAUAGAGUAAUUCCGUCCUAAGGAAAAGAUCUACGUUCGAAUCGUAGUAGGGGCACCA